Molecule: long non-coding RNA, 482 nt
Organism: Centruroides sculpturatus (bark scorpion)
Lineage: Eukaryota; Metazoa; Arthropoda; Arachnida; Scorpiones; Buthidae
Exons: 2
Source: RefSeq, a predicted model, not a curated record
AUGAAUGUUAAUUUGAAUUUAGUGAUGACGGUGCCUUAAGGAGAGCUUUCAACGAAUAUUUACAGAAAAGAUCUGCCUCUAAACAGUUGUCUAAAAUUUCAGUUGUAAAUACUUCACAUUGGAAGUUUCCUGCAAAACAGAAACCUACUCGUAAAACAUCAACGUUACUAUCGACUGCCGACAAAUCAUCUCAUACUUCAAGAGCAUAUUCAAGUACACAAGCUCGAGAUUCAUCAAGUGCUCCACAUUCAUUAAGAAGAAGGAAAGAAAAAAAAUUAGAUGAAUAUCUCCAACGGAUAUAUCAAGAAAAUUUAUAUCAUUUAUUUGAAAAGCAUUUCGAUUCUAAGGAAGCCGAGGAGCUUGCUUCAAUUCUGGAAUUACCAAAGCCAGAUAGUCUUCCUAAAAGUGUUGAGAAACAAAAAUCUGGCGAUGUAUCCAAUAAAUAUCAAAUAAAACCUUUAUUUGAAGUGGAAGUGAAAAAA